AAGUCGUAACAAGGUUUCCGUAGGUGAACCUGCGGAAGGAUCAUUAGUAAAAUUUUACUGUUGGGCAGUUGCUUUCUCUCUAACGUUAGUUAGUGAGGCAUUAACUGCCUCAUGCAUUGCUUGCAAAGGGGGGGGUUCUCCCCUUUAGCCUGUGCAUGGAAACAAAAAAAUCCACCAUUGUGAACGAUGAAAAAACAACUUUAAUUAAACUACAGAGACUCUCUUAUAUUGUAUCAACCCAUCAUUUAUUAGAUAAAAUAACAAAGAACAACUGUUAACGAUGGAUCCCUUGGCUCUUA
Molecule: unclassified non-coding RNA, 299 nt
Filed under: fungal sp.
Lineage: Eukaryota; Fungi
Description: partial internal transcribed spacer region
Rfam family: Eukaryotic small subunit ribosomal RNA (bases 1-46)
Source: RNAcentral